Long non-coding RNA from Myotis myotis, 3319 nucleotides. RefSeq lists it as uncharacterized. NCBI's taxonomy places the organism in Eukaryota, Metazoa, Chordata, Mammalia, Chiroptera, Vespertilionidae. The record is from RefSeq and is a predicted model, not a curated record. The transcript has 2 exons.
CGAUGGUCUUAGGCGACCCCUGUGAAAGGGUCGUUCGACCCCCAAAGGGGUCGUGACCCACAGGUUGAGAACCGCUGGUUUAAAAGAAUUUGUAAAGGAAAAUGUGAUACUUUUAAUACUGGGCCAUACACGGAGUUCUUGACUGGAAAGAGAAGGAAGAAAGAAAAGAAGCCUUGGUGAUAACCAGCAGCCAGCAAUAGUUCCGGAAUAUUCAAAGGUAUCCAUGCAAAUCAGACAGCACUUGAAGAAAUGCAGCCAAUACCUUUUGCUUUGGGAACUCAUUUGGCAGCGGGAAGUGCUAAGGAAGAGCUUUACUUAUAUUCUCUGCUUCCUGAUAUUUAAAGAAUUCAUUUCAUUUGCAAUUUAACAGAAAUCCAUUUUCUUUCCCUUUCAAAGGACAGGCGGUGCCCCUCUGAGAUGUGAAAGGUGGUGGGCGGCUGAAACUGCUUCUCUGAAAGUUAACUUCUGAGCAAUCCUUCUAACAGUGACCGUGGAAAGAAAGAAAUUGGUGUCAGCAGGGAUCCUGGCAGUAGGCGAGCAGCCAGAUCCUUCCAAGGGGAGUGAGAAGUGUCUAGACUUUGAUGCCUUUGAAUUCCUGGUUCCAUUUCUCUGUGUCUAAAUCGAGGAGAAAACAUUCUCAGCAUUUCAGUCACUCAUUGGACAGACGUUAAUUGAAUACUUGCCCUGCUGAACUCCUAGAACGUCCAGUAGGGAAUGGCUCACAGGCCCUGUCCUCAGGGAGUUUACAUUCUGCUGAGGCAGAUGGGCAUGAAAAUUUCAGGGUAAAAGGGGUUGUGGUAUCAGUGAACACAGGGAGCCCAAAGGACCUGUGUUGGGGGAUGGGGAAGACUUCCUUGGGUCUUCAAAGAUAGAAGUUGGCCACAACAAGGGGCAUGAGGCUGUCCAUGGAGAGGUGGCCAGAGGAGAGAGAGGACAUCAUCUGUUUGGGAAAAUAUAAUAACCUCAGUGUGAGAGCAGUGCAGUUUAUAUGGGAAGGCGAGGGAAGAAGGGGUGAGGGGGACAGUGAAGAGGUAGGUAGGCAUUCUUUCUAAAUGCCUUUGUCAUGAAGUCAGGGGGCUCUCAGAAAAAAAUUUAAGCGGGGAAGUAACUUGAUCAGACUUUACUUUUACAAAGCUUACUCUAGUUGGCUUUAACAAUCAGUCAGUCAACCAACCAACCAAUCUAUUGGAGGUGUAAUUACAUAAACAGUAAAAUGGCCAGAUCUUAAGGCCAAUUUGGCUGAUGAGUGUUGAUAAUUGUAUGCACUCAUGUUACCACCACCAGAAACCAGAUACAGAACAUCGCUGUUACCCCAGGAAGUUCUUCUGUGUCCUUGUCCAUUCAGUCACCUCCCUGCAGUCACUUUCUGACUUUCAUUUUCAGUUAUGUCUUUCUUGGAUUUCAUGUGAAUGAUGGAGUCUUGCACAUUGAAAUGUUGAUGGAAUGGAGCUGGCAGAGAGGAAAGUUUGAGGAUGUGAGAGCGAGUUAACUGGGUAGAGCCACUGUCUAGGAAGUCAGGAUUGGGUGGAAUCCCAAGGAGGAAUGUAUGCCGGCUUUGAGAGGAGGAGGAAGGAAACCAAGAAAAGUGAGUUUGGGGGUGAGCAGGAAGUUGAAGGCAUUGUUGCUUUAUUCUUUGUGAAGUAGGAGGUGAGGUCAUUUUUUGAGACUAAAGGGAGAGGAAGGGGAGGUGAUGGGCUGAGGGUUGGGUAAAGUAGAAGAGGUUUGAAAUAGCGGCUAUUUAAUAGCCUUUGAGAAGACUGAGUAAAGAGCCAAGCAGGUUUGCUGGGCAGCUCUGAGGGCUUCUUGAGAAUGGAGACCAUGAGUCUGUUAUGACAUCAGCUUUAGUGGACAGGUGGUCUUCUCCUUGGUGUUGAAUAUCCUGGAGAGAGAAACAGAGGUAGAUCAAGUUAUUUCCCUGCUUAAAUGUUUUUCUGAGAGCCCCCGGACUUCAUGACAAAGGCAUUUGGAAAGUCAUAGGUAGAAGGAUCUGGGUUUGGGAUUCGGUUGGGUGGGUGUGUAAGAGAGUGCAAGGGAGUUGAGAUCAUUGGCCACAGACUGUUGAUGGAUGGAGGAGAAAGGAGGUGAAGAUAGAGGACUAUCAGAGAAGUGGAAAACAGAGGGAUUGGAAAAUUGGAGCAUCAUGUAAAAUGGGAACGUUGGUGUUGUGGGAGAAGCUGGGAGAAAGAUCUGAAGGGGAAGGCGUUUACAGAGGAUAAAAGGAAGAGGAGCGAGGUGCUUGGAGGUCCUGUCAGAGGUGGAGCCGUUCUGAUUGAGUCCAGGAUGGACCUUGGAGAGGAAGGCAGUAACACAGAAAAGGAGGUUACAGAAUGAGCACAAGGAACAGACUAGGCAGUGUGCUCAGUGACUUCUAAGGUGAUUCAGAAUGACAGCUGGACUUGGUGUCUCAAAGAAGACGGAGUCAGGUGGCAAGGUCUUCAGUGAAUGGGAGAAAACGACUGGUCGAGGUAGGUGGAAGCUUCACCCACUGGUGGAGGACUUUCGUUUUGGCUUUGGGGAAUAAGAAGGGGCUGCAUUUCCAGCAAAAGUUUUAGUUUCAGCAUAGACAGGGGGAGAGGGUGCGGUGUGAAUGGUUCCAAGAGGUACAUACAGUAGAAAGGGGGUGUACGAGGGUGGGGAUCAGGAUGGGGAUGUGGGGGUAAGAUUAUAGGGAAGGAUGGCUGCGCGGCAGGAAGGACUAAACUUGAAAUAGGGCUGAGAGGUGCGAUGAUGAGGUUGCUUCUGUUUCUCUUAGUUCCCCUGGUGGUUGGGAGGUUCCAGUCUUUUCUCUGGAAGCAACUGGGAAGUGUUCUGCUGGACCUGAGUGGUGCUGUCCAGAUGUCUAACUUGGAGCGAGCUGGCUGUGCCGUCCCUUUCGUGAGCGAUGACAGAGGAUGGAGAGCCCAUAGAGCCAGGAGUCCGCACUGAAAGGCCUUUUAUGGCAUUUGAAUAUUUUAUGAUCCUUUGAUUUUCUAGAGGCCUGUCUCCUGGAGAAGUGAAUUUUCUUAAUGGCCUUUGUUUUUUUUUUCUCUUUCUGGUUUCUAGAAAACAGAAGGGUAAGCUAUCCUCUGGGGUUCAGUUCCAUUCAUCACCUUCAUAAAAUGGGGUGAUAAGCCAAGUCUGUUUCUUUGAAGUCAGUGAAUAAACCUUUCCUGUUACAGAGCAUGGAAUUCCAUUGGGGAAUUUAAAUACAUUUCCUUUAAUGGCUUAAAUGAAGGUGCUGCCUUUUGUUUUGUUUUUUUCCAUGAAAGUUUUAUAUAUUUGACCUAUUUAAUAUUUUUCCUUAGGAAAUAAAAGAUGGCAUUUUCUUAGUUCCCUUCCA